Molecule: long non-coding RNA, 613 nt
Organism: Cyprinodon tularosa
Lineage: Eukaryota; Metazoa; Chordata; Actinopteri; Cyprinodontiformes; Cyprinodontidae
Exons: 3
Source: RefSeq, a predicted model, not a curated record
AACGUUUAUCCCAAAGUUACACCCUAUAGAAAUAAACUGAAGUGAACUGUGUUCGUGUUGAUGUUAGUUUGACAGAUAUGUGUGUCAGACAUUUCUGAAAACAAGGAACAAAUCGCUUCCUUAUUGGUUCAAUACGGGACGAAAUGUUUAACUGGCAAAUAAAGGACGAUUCCGUUCUGAUGGUGGUUCAGGAUGGGCUGCUUCUUCUAGGCCUCACCGCAACCCUGAACAAGUAUGAACACAUUCAAUGCUGACCUCCUCCUCCUCCUCCAGAUGGCAGCAGAUCCCCACCUGAGCUACAUCUUUUUAUGCUUUGCUUCAUGUUUUACUCCAGCUGCUGCUAGUGGGGCUCCUCCACCUCCUCCACCUGGGCCAGCACUGCAGGGAACAUUUUCCUCCAUAGAGCUGAUAAAAGAGAGGAGUGGAAGAAGAAAGAUGAGCAGAUGGUUGAGGUUUCAAGGCCUGCAGAAAUCCCCAGCAUGCUGGACAUCCUAAAGGACAAAGACAAGGUGAAGCUGCAGUCUGUGAAAAGCCGUUUAGAGGAAGCUGUAGUCAAAAUGAAGCCAACAUUGGAAGAAAUCAAAAUAUAGAUAAGUAAUUUUUUUUUUUAAUA